GGGGGGGGAUAAAACAUAAACACAGGGAACUCGCGAAGUCUUCUCGUGUCUCUAGUCUACCUGCGUGAGCGGAACGAAACUCAACACUGAGAUGUGGAUAUAGCAUAUAGUCGACAGAGAAUCUACGAAAACAACGAAACUUUCUUCUCGGAUCUCUUGGUUCACGCAUCGAUGAAGAGCGCAGCGAAAUGCGAUACCUAGUGUGUACUCGCCCCCAUCGUGAAUCAUCGAGUUCUUGAACGCACAUUGCGCCCCUCGGAAUCCGGGGGGCAUGCCUGUUUGAGCGUCCUUUCCAUCUUGCGCGUGCGCAGAGUUGGGGGAGGCGGAGCGGACCACUGUAAAGAGCGUCGAAGCUUCCCACUCGCCUUGAAGGGAACCAAUCCUGGCCCAAAAAAACAAAAUUUCUUUUUCAGGGCGGUUUGGGGGCCCAAAAGCAAGUGUUGGAGAAAAACAAAAACCCGCCCUCAGUCCGG
This 473-nucleotide ribosomal RNA is filed under the name Pichia kudriavzevii. RNAcentral's name for it is "partial 18S ribosomal RNA". The stretch from base 138 to 289 matches the Rfam family "5.8S ribosomal RNA". The record is from RNAcentral. Lineage: Eukaryota; Fungi; Ascomycota; Pichiomycetes; Pichiales; Pichiaceae.